Molecule: long non-coding RNA, 654 nt
Filed under: Rattus norvegicus (Norway rat)
Lineage: Eukaryota; Metazoa; Chordata; Mammalia; Rodentia; Muridae
Description: long non-coding RNA NONRATT025317
Source: RNAcentral
AGCUGAGAAAACUUGGAUCUUCCUGGCUCUGUCUCUAACAGGGCGUAUCCCGUGUGUCUCCUUUCCAAUGUCAUUGAUGAUGUGUGCACUGUAAACAUCUCUUCUUUGUGUGUUUAGGGACUUGGGAACCGAGGGUGUGGCUUGCAUUUUUGGCUCCAGUUUGAAAAUUCUCAGGGCAGCCCACAUAGUGGUCAGAGCCAGGGGGUCUCUAACAGUAGGACAGGGGAACAGCACGCAGCCCCCUCCGACCAGAGAGGCUACUGCACACAGACCUCCUCUUUGGGUUCCUUUACUCGCCUGUGUUGUAUUCCUGCUUCUCAUCAGGUAUGGUGUGGCGGUCCAAGACUUCGCUGGCAGUUGGAGGAGUGGGCUAGCUUUCCUGGCUGUCAUCAAAGCUAUUGACCCCAGCCUCGUAGACAUGAAGCAGGCUCUGGAAGAUUCUACCCGGGAAAAUCUAGAGAAGGCAUUCCGCAUUGCACAUGAUUCCCUGCAUAUCCCCAGGCUCCUCGAGCCGGAAGACAUCAUGGUUGACAUGCCGGAUGAGCAGUCCAUUGUGACUUAUGUGGCCCAGUUUCUAGAGCGCUUUCCGGAGUUGGAUCCCGAGGAUUUUGUGAAUCCAGACAAAGAAGCCCCUAUCGAGUCCACCUUUGUCCG